AUUGAACGCUGGCGGGAUGCCUAACACAUGCAAGUCGAACGAGUGGCGGACGGGUGAGUAAUGUCUCGGAAAGUGCCCAUUGGAGGGGGAUAACUACGCGAAACGGUGGCUAAUACCGCCUACCAUGGGAUGUGCCCAUAUGGGGUGAGCGAUGAGGUGGGGUAAAGGCUCACCUGGGCCACGAUCCCUAGCUGGCCUGAGAGGAUGACCCGCCACCCUGGAACUGAGACACGGUCCAGACUCCUACGGGAGGCAGCAGUAGGGAAUAGUGGGCAAUGGGCGCAAGUCUGACGGAGCCAUGCCGCGUGUGUGAAGAAGGUUUUCGGGUUGUAAAGCACUUUCAUUGGGGAGGCGUUACCAACAGAAGAAGCCACGGCUAACUCCGUGCCAGCAGCCGCGGUAAUUC
This 406-nucleotide ribosomal RNA is filed under the name uncultured bacterium. RNAcentral describes it as "partial 16S ribosomal RNA". It matches the Rfam family "Bacterial small subunit ribosomal RNA", at positions 30 to 526 of the family's 1533-position model. The record is from RNAcentral.